CAAACAAAUAUUUGCAUUCUUUCAGAAACAUGAAUAGUACCUUCAACCACUAAUUCAAAAGCUUUAGAAUCAUAUUCCGUGAUAACAUACACUCUGACAUGGGCUGAUGAUUUAUGAGGCAGUGAUUCUUUCUUCUUGUCCAAAGGGCAGUCUUUUAUUUUAUGAUCCAAAUUUUUAUAAGCAAAAUAGGCUCCAGUCACCUACAAAUAUAAACUUAUUUCAUAAUUUAACUCGCAUCAUACACAGGAUUGAAUCUUUUGUGGUGACUUCCCUUUUCAAAUCGAUGAUGUCUUGACCCUCUUAUUAUCACAUUCUAAUUCAUUUCUAAUCUUUUUUUUUUUUGUAAACUUGUCCUUGCUAUUCCUGCUCUUGAUCUCCAGAAAUUCUUUUGAUCAUCGGAACAAUUUCGUACAUCAAAAAUCUUCUCCAAUCGCAUCAUCCAUUUUUCUGCUACCAAUGUAUUAGGUUCACCACGCUUUUACUGCGCCACAAUGAUUUAAU
Molecule: long non-coding RNA, 501 nt
Filed under: Musa acuminata (dwarf banana)
Lineage: Eukaryota; Viridiplantae; Streptophyta; Magnoliopsida; Zingiberales; Musaceae
Description: long non-coding RNA (MACU_LNC011904)
Source: RNAcentral